AUUGAACGCUGGCGGCAGGCCUAACACAUGCAAGUCGAGCGGAUGAAGGGAGCUUGCUCCUGGAUUCAGCGGCGGACGGGUGAGUAAUGCCUAGGAAUCUGCCUUGUAGUGGGGGAUAACGUCCGGAAACGGGCGCUAAUACCGCAUACGUCCUGAGGGAGAAAGUGGGGGAUCUUCGGACCUCACGCUAUCAGAUGAGCCUAGGUCGGAUUAGCUAGUUGGUGGGGUAAAGGCCUACCAAGGCGACGAUCCGUAACUGGUCUGAGAGGAUGAUCAGUCACACUGGAACUGAGACACGGUCCAGACUCCUACGGGAGGCAGCAUUGGGGAAUAUUGGACAAUGGGCGAAAGCCUGAUCCAGCCAUGCCGCGUGUGUGAAGAAGGUCUUCGGAUUGUAAAGCACUUUAAGUUGGGAGGAAGGGCAGUAAGUUAAUACCUUGCUGUUUUGACGUUACCAACAGAAUAAGCACCGGCUAACUUCGUG
RNAcentral lists this ribosomal RNA (484 nucleotides) under uncultured bacterium. RNAcentral's name for it is "partial 16S ribosomal RNA". It matches the Rfam family "Bacterial small subunit ribosomal RNA", at positions 30 to 507 of the family's 1533-position model. The record is from RNAcentral.